UGGGGAAUUUUGGACAAUGGGCGAAAGCCUGAUCCAGCAAUGCCGCGUGUGUGAAGAAGGCCUUCGGGUUGUAAAGCACUUUUGUCCGGAAAGAAAUCCUUGGCUCUAAUACAGUCGGGGGAUGACGGUACCGGAAGAAUAAGCACCGGCUAACUACGUGCCAGCAGCCGCGGUAAUACGUAGGGUGCAAGCGUUAAUCGGAAUUACUGGGCGUAAAGCGUGCGCAGGCGGUUUGCUAAGACCGAUGUGAAAUCCCCGGGCUCAACCUGGGAACUGCAUUGGUGACUGGCAGGCUAGAGUAUGGCAGAGGGGGGUAGAAUUCCACGUGUAGCAGUGAAAUGCGUAGAGAUGUGGAGGAAUACCGAUGGCGAAGGCAGCCCCCUGGGCCAAUACUGACGCUCAUGCACGAAAGCGUGGGGAGCAAACAGGAUUAGAUACCCUGGUAGUCCACGCCCUAAANGAUGUCAACUAGUUGUUGGGGAUUCAUUUUCCUAGUAACGUAGCUAACGCGUGAAGUUGACCGCCUGGGGAGUACGGUCGCAAGA
This 545-nucleotide ribosomal RNA is filed under the name uncultured bacterium. RNAcentral's name for it is "partial 16S ribosomal RNA". It matches the Rfam family "Bacterial small subunit ribosomal RNA", at positions 355 to 893 of the family's 1533-position model. The record is from RNAcentral.